Saccoglossus kowalevskii is the source of this 465-nucleotide long non-coding RNA. Lineage: Eukaryota; Metazoa; Hemichordata; Enteropneusta; Harrimaniidae. The record is from RefSeq and is a predicted model, not a curated record.
CAAUCUACCAUUUACCAAUCUUUAUGUAUUUGGAAAAAAUAUAAUAAAAGAUACAUUAUUUUUAUUUAUAAAGGUCCCUCUAUUAGAACCAUGGAAUUGCCCGAAAGCUAAAGAAUGGGACAGCAUUUCGACUAAGGCUUGGCUUGACGAAGUCUGUUGGACAGACACGGCAAAAAAUGUUAUAAGUAUACUGUUACACUCAAUACACGCAUGUGAGCCGAAAGAGUUAUCGUUACUCUAUUUUCUGUGGUACAUCAAGUCUGGAGCUGGAACGUUGAGAAUAUCAAGUACUGAAAAGGGAGCCCAGGAGAGAAAAUUCGUGGGAGGUUCACAACAGAUUUGUGAAAAAAUAGUGGACCUUAUUGGAAAAGAUAAAAUUCUUUACAACAGUCCCGUUGUCAAAAUCGAGCAAAAUGACGAUGGCGUGAUAGUAUCAACAGCGAGUGGACGUCAAAUCAAGGUACA